This is a non-coding RNA of Urocitellus parryii (Arctic ground squirrel), 448 nucleotides long. Lineage: Eukaryota; Metazoa; Chordata; Mammalia; Rodentia; Sciuridae. The record is from RefSeq and is a predicted model, not a curated record.
AUUUGCAGUGUGGUUCAGCUCUUUCCUCUCUCCUGCCUGUCAAAAAGAUGUUAUUCCUGUGAUUAAAACCAUUACAGUCCUUCAAAGGUUACACAUGACUUUCAGGCUUCAGCCUCUAUAGGAGCAGUGCUGGGAACUGAACCCAGGCCGUACACAUGCUAGAUGAAAGAACAAGAAGAAAAGGGGCCAGCCUGCCAUUGAAGGGGAGGUCUGAAGAUGAGCACCUUUUCCUGACACAGUAGAACCUCCACCAUCAGUCCCUGAUAUGAAACAAAUUGAGAUCUUUGAGUUCUUGGAAAACAACGAAGAACUUUUCAGCUCCACUGAAGGUCAGGCCCGUGGGAUAUGUGCAGUAAAUGCCAUGUGAAGACACAGAAAGAAGGCAUCCAUCUGUAAGUCAGAAGAAGGACCUCACCAGAUACCACAUGUGCUGGAACCUUGAUCUUAG